RNAcentral lists this ribosomal RNA (455 nucleotides) under uncultured bacterium. RNAcentral describes it as "partial 16S ribosomal RNA". It matches the Rfam family "Bacterial small subunit ribosomal RNA", at positions 356 to 803 of the family's 1533-position model. The record is from RNAcentral.
AGGGAAUCUUCCACAAUGGACGCAAGUCUGAUGGAGCAACGCCGCGUGAGUGAAGAAGGCUUUCGGGUCGUAAAACUCUGUUAUUGAAGAAGAACGUGUGUGACAGUAACUGGUCAUGCAGUGACGGUAUUCAAUCAGAAAGUCACGGCUAACUACGUGCCAGCAGCCGCGGUAAUACGUAGGUGGCAAGCGUUGUCCGGAUUUAUUGGGCGUAAAGCGAGUGCAGGCGGUCUUUUAAGUCUGAUGUGAAAGCCUUCGGCUUAACCGAAGAAGGGCAUCGGAAACUGGGAGACUUGAGUGCAGAAGAGGAGAGUGGAACUCCAUGUGUAGCGGUGAAAUGCGUAGAUAUAUGGAAGAACACCAGUGGCGAAGGCGGCUCUCUGGUCUGUAACUGACGCUGAGGCUCGAAAGCGUGGGUAGCAAACAGGAUUAGAUACCCUGGUAGUCCACGCCGU